This 73-nucleotide transfer RNA is filed under the name Phycisphaerae bacterium. Its description in RNAcentral is "tRNA-Phe". It matches the Rfam family "tRNA". Rfam says of the family: Transfer RNA (tRNA) molecules are approximately 80 nucleotides in length. Their secondary structure includes four short double-helical elements and three loops (D, anti-codon, and T loops). RNAcentral also lists the same sequence under 3 other names. The record is from RNAcentral. Lineage: Bacteria; Pseudomonadati; Planctomycetota; Phycisphaerae.
GGCGAAAUAGCUCAGUUGGUAGAGCACUGCACUGAAAAUGCAGGUGUCCCCGGUUCAAGUCCGGGUUUCGCCA